This 248-nucleotide long non-coding RNA is filed under the name Setaria viridis. RNAcentral describes it as "long non-coding RNA (SVIR_LNC011142)". Lineage: Eukaryota; Viridiplantae; Streptophyta; Magnoliopsida; Poales; Poaceae. The record is from RNAcentral.
CAGAAACUGGAGGGUGAGUACUUGUACUCGUAUUUUGUUGGUCGGAAUUCUUGUAUUCUCUCAAUCUUUCUGACUGUGUUGUCUUCAUUCUUUGUAGAGCUGAAGGGUCAUGAAGCCAGACUUAGCAGUCAAGUUUUGGAUUGGAGGAAUGCACAUAGUCGUGCCAGCAAUGAAGUUGAACAGCUCACGGCUUAGCUGGCAGAGUCGAGGGAAAACUACGAAAGAGAGAGGGGUUGGCAACAAAAUUU